Etheostoma cragini (Arkansas darter) is the source of this 99-nucleotide long non-coding RNA. RefSeq lists it as uncharacterized. Lineage: Eukaryota; Metazoa; Chordata; Actinopteri; Perciformes; Percidae. The record is from RefSeq and is a predicted model, not a curated record. The transcript is spliced from 3 exons.
AGAGAGCAUAUUAGCUUUUGUACAGUAAGACAUCAUGCAGUCGACCCCAUUUUGGAAACAAUAAUGUAUGCAAACAUAGACACUUUUUAUUUCCAAAAC